This is a non-coding RNA of Kogia breviceps (pygmy sperm whale), 484 nucleotides long. Lineage: Eukaryota; Metazoa; Chordata; Mammalia; Artiodactyla; Physeteridae. The record is from RefSeq and is a predicted model, not a curated record.
CCGCGUGUGCCCGCACGCCCGCCCCCUGCGCCCCGGGGGGGGGCGCCCUUCCUCCUCUCCCCUCCCCCUCCUCCCGGGCUGCCGAGUCGCCCGAGGCUCGGGCGCUGCUGCGCAGCGGGGGAAGACGCCUCCUGCUCCCGGGGCCCACUAACGCGCUAAAUCGAUGCAGCUGAUGCGAGGCCGUGGCCCCUGCAGACAGCGGAGACCUAGCCGGCGGCCGGCGAGAAGGUGUCUGCCCCCGCCGGGCUUGAAGGCACUUGUCGAUUUGAUGGGCUUCUCUGCCACUCCUUGGAAACAUGUUAGCAGAACCUGGGAUGGAGAAACCAUCCUUGAAUACAGAAAAGAAUGUGGCACCGGCUGGGUAGAGAUCAUCCAGAUCACGCUUCUGUUCUCCUACUGAUGACCUUGGUGAUAGACGAUUAGGAGAGAAUCUCUGAACACAGGCCCUCAAUCCACAGACCCUGGGCAAGUGAGGAGAUCCUUC